UACGAAGGGGGCUAGCGUUGCUCGGAAUCAUUGGGCGUAAAGGGCGCGUAGGCGGACAGUUAAGUCAGAGGUGAAAGCCCAGGGCUCAACCUUGGAAUUGCCUUUGAUACUGACUGUCUUGAGUACGGGAGAGGUGUGUGGAACUCCGAGUGUAGAGGUGAAAUUCGUAGAUAUUCGGAAGAACACCAGUGGCGAAGGCGACACACUGGCCCGUUACUGACGCUGAGGCGCGAAAGCGUGGGUAGCAAACAGG
Molecule: ribosomal RNA, 253 nt
Filed under: uncultured Phenylobacterium sp.
Lineage: Bacteria; Pseudomonadati; Pseudomonadota; Alphaproteobacteria; Caulobacterales; Caulobacteraceae
Description: partial 16S ribosomal RNA
Rfam family: Bacterial small subunit ribosomal RNA
Source: RNAcentral